This 468-nucleotide ribosomal RNA is filed under the name uncultured bacterium. RNAcentral describes it as "partial 16S ribosomal RNA". It matches the Rfam family "Bacterial small subunit ribosomal RNA", at positions 28 to 507 of the family's 1533-position model. The record is from RNAcentral.
GACGAACGCUGGCGGCGUGCUUAACACAUGCAAGUCGAACGGAAAGGCCCUGCUUUUGUGGGGUGCUCGAGUGGCGAACGGGUGAGUAACACGUGAGUAACCUGCCCUUGACUUUGGGAUAACUUCAGGAAACUGGGGCUAAUACCGGAUAGGAGCUCCUGCUCCAUGGUGGGGGUUGGAAAGUUUGGGCGGUUGGGGAUGGACUCGCGGCUUAUCAGCUUGUUGUUGGGGUAGUGGCUUACCAAGGCUUUGACGGGUAGCCGGCCUGAGAGGGUGACCGGCCACAUGGGGACUGAGAUACGGCCCAGACUCCUACGGGAGGCAGCAGUGGGGAAUAUUGCACAAUGGGCGGAAGCCUGAUGCAGCAACGCCGCGUGCGGGAUGACGGCCUUCGGGUUGUAAACCGAUUUCGCCUGUGACGAAGCGUGAGUGACGGUAAUGGGUAAAGAAGCACCGGCUAACUACGUG